AUUCCUGAAUCUGAAGCCCUCAUUACAGGUCAAUAGAGAAAAAGAAUGUUCCAGAGCCUUCUUCAGCCUGGAAGCUUCUGGCAGGUUCCAGUCACUCUGUGGGCAGUACCAGCUGCAAUCUUGCCACCAGGCCCCACCCACUCUGCACUGCACCACCCCUGGCAUCCCACAGCCUCUGCAGGGGGCACCCCAGGCACCUCCAGGCCACUGGCCCCUGCAUCUUCCGGACCAGUAGAACCAAAUUUCUGUUCCGUGUACUUCUGUUCCGUGUCCCGUUUCCUUGUUCUGGUUACAUGCAUGUCACAAAGUUAUAUCUGUGGCAGCUAGCUGUGUAGCCUGGGGCUGAAUUAAUAAGGAGUACAUUGUAGAAUCAAGUUAAUGACUGCAACUCUAAGACAGGUGGCUUGGGAGUCAGACAGAACCAAGUUCAAAUCCUGACUUAUUCGCUCUGUGUCUUUAGGCAGUGACUCCUCAGACCCUCCGUGCCCUCUGCUCACCCUUCCUCCUGUCUCACCCCUCUGCGGUUCACAGCCCCUCUUCCCUCAGGCCCCUCUUGUUCACACUUAUCUCCUGUUCAUGUGCCCCUCUCCUCCUUCGACCCCACUCCCAGGCCACACGCCUCUCACGCCCACACCUAGGGCAGGUUCCCCACUGUCUCCAGAUUGAUACUGGUCAGUUACCUCAGG
This 686-nucleotide long non-coding RNA is filed under the name Homo sapiens (human). Its description in RNAcentral is "HSALNT0354934". Lineage: Eukaryota; Metazoa; Chordata; Mammalia; Primates; Hominidae. The record is from RNAcentral.